RNAcentral lists this ribosomal RNA (253 nucleotides) under uncultured bacterium. Its description in RNAcentral is "partial 16S ribosomal RNA". It matches the Rfam family "Bacterial small subunit ribosomal RNA", at positions 524 to 776 of the family's 1533-position model. The record is from RNAcentral.
UACGUAGGGUGCGAGCGUUAAUCGGAAUUACUGGGCGUAAAGCGUGCGUAGGCGGUUCGCUGUGUCCGAUGUGAAAGCCCCAGGCUUAACCUGGGAAUGGCAUUGGAAACUGGCGGGCUUGAGUGCGGCAGAGGGGGGUGGAAUUCCGCGUGUAGCAGUGAAAUGCGUAGAGAUGCGGAGGAACACCGAUGGCGAAGGCAGCCCCCUGGGUCGACACUGACGCUCAGGCACGAAAGCGUGGGGAGCAAACAGG